This 2873-nucleotide ribosomal RNA is filed under the name Escherichia coli. Its description in RNAcentral is "bacterial LSU rRNA". It matches the Rfam family "Bacterial large subunit ribosomal RNA". The record is from RNAcentral. Lineage: Bacteria; Pseudomonadati; Pseudomonadota; Gammaproteobacteria; Enterobacterales; Enterobacteriaceae.
GGGUUGUGAGGUUAAGCGACUAAGCGUACACGGUGGAUGCCCUGGCAGUCAGAGGCGAUGAAGGACGUGCUAAUCUGCGAUAAGCGUCGGUAAGGUGAUAUGAACCGUUAUAACCGGCGAUUUCCGAAUGGGGAAACCCAGUGUGAUUCGUCACACUAUCAUUAACUGAAUCCAUAGGUUAAUGAGGCGAACCGGGGGAACUGAAACAUCUAAGUACCCCGAGGAAAAGAAAUCAACCGAGAUUCCCCCAGUAGCGGCGAGCGAACGGGGAGCAGCCCAGAGCCUGAAUCAGUGUGUGUGUUAGUGGAAGCGUCUGGAAAGGCGCGCGAUACAGGGUGACAGCCCCGUACACAAAAAUGCACAUACUGUGAGCUCGAUGAGUAGGGCGGGACACGUGGUAUCCUGUCUGAAUAUGGGGGGACCAUCCUCCAAGGCUAAAUACUCCUGACUGACCGAUAGUGAACCAGUACCGUGAGGGAAAGGCGAAAAGAACCCCGGCGAGGGGAGUGAAAAAGAACCUGAAACCGUGUACGUACAAGCAGUGGGAGCACAGAGCAAUCUGUGUGACUGCGUACCUUUUGUAUAAUGGGUCAGCGACUUAUAUUCUGUAGCAAGGUUAACCGAAUAGGGGAGCCGAAGGGAAACCGAGUCUUAACUGGGCGUUAAGUUGCAGGGUAUAGACCCGAAACCCGGUGAUCUAGCCAUGGGCAGGUUGAAGGUUGGGUAACACUAACUGGAGGACCGAACCGACUAAUGUUGAAAAAUUAGCGGAUGACUUGUGGCUGGGGGUGAAAGGCCAAUCAAACCGGGAGAUAGCUGGUUCUCCCCGAAAGCUAUUUAGGUAGCGCCUCGUGAAUUCAUCUCCGGGGGUAGAGCACUGUUUCGGCAAGGGGGUCAUCCCGACUUACCAACCCGAUGCAAACUGCGAAUACCGGAGAAUGUUAUCACGGGAGACACACGGCGGGUGCUAACGUCCGUCGUGAAGAGGGAAACAACCCAGACCGCCAGCUAAGGUCCCAAAGUCAUGGUUAAGUGGGAAACGAUGUGGGAAGGCCCAGACAGCCAGGAUGUUGGCUUAGAAGCAGCCAUCAUUUAAAGAAAGCGUAAUAGCUCACUGGUCGAGUCGGCCUGCGCGGAAGAUGUAACGGGGCUAAACCAUGCACCGAAGCUGCGGCAGCGACGCUUAUGCGUUGUUGGGUAGGGGAGCGUUCUGUAAGCCUGCGAAGGUGUGCUGUGAGGCAUGCUGGAGGUAUCAGAAGUGCGAAUGCUGACAUAAGUAACGAUAAAGCGGGUGAAAAGCCCGCUCGCCGGAAGACCAAGGGUUCCUGUCCAACGUUAAUCGGGGCAGGGUGAGUCGACCCCUAAGGCGAGGCCGAAAGGCGUAGUCGAUGGGAAACAGGUUAAUAUUCCUGUACUUGGUGUUACUGCGAAGGGGGGACGGAGAAGGCUAUGUUGGCCGGGCGACGGUUGUCCCGGUUUAAGCGUGUAGGCUGGUUUUCCAGGCAAAUCCGGAAAAUCAAGGCUGAGGCGUGAUGACGAGGCACUACGGUGCUGAAGCAACAAAUGCCCUGCUUCCAGGAAAAGCCUCUAAGCAUCAGGUAACAUCAAAUCGUACCCCAAACCGACACAGGUGGUCAGGUAGAGAAUACCAAGGCGCUUGAGAGAACUCGGGUGAAGGAACUAGGCAAAAUGGUGCCGUAACUUCGGGAGAAGGCACGCUGAUAUGUAGGUGAAGUCCCUCGCGGAUGGAGCUGAAAUCAGUCGAAGAUACCAGCUGGCUGCAACUGUUUAUUAAAAACACAGCACUGUGCAAACACGAAAGUGGACGUAUACGGUGUGACGCCUGCCCGGUGCCGGAAGGUUAAUUGAUGGGGUCAGCGCAAGCGAAGCUCUUGAUCGAAGCCCCGGUAAACGGCGGCCGUAACUAUAACGGUCCUAAGGUAGCGAAAUUCCUUGUCGGGUAAGUUCCGACCUGCACGAAUGGCGUAAUGAUGGCCAGGCUGUCUCCACCCGAGACUCAGUGAAAUUGAACUCGCUGUGAAGAUGCAGUGUACCCGCGGCAAGACGGAAAGACCCCGUGAACCUUUACUAUAGCUUGACACUGAACAUUGAGCCUUGAUGUGUAGGAUAGGUGGGAGGCUUUGAAGUGUGGACGCCAGUCUGCAUGGAGCCGACCUUGAAAUACCACCCUUUAAUGUUUGAUGUUCUAACGUUGACCCGUAAUCCGGGUUGCGGACAGUGUCUGGUGGGUAGUUUGACUGGGGCGGUCUCCUCCUAAAGAGUAACGGAGGAGCACGAAGGUUGGCUAAUCCUGGUCGGACAUCAGGAGGUUAGUGCAAUGGCAUAAGCCAGCUUGACUGCGAGCGUGACGGCGCGAGCAGGUGCGAAAGCAGGUCAUAGUGAUCCGGUGGUUCUGAAUGGAAGGGCCAUCGCUCAACGGAUAAAAGGUACUCCGGGGAUAACAGGCUGAUACCGCCCAAGAGUUCAUAUCGACGGCGGUGUUUGGCACCUCGAUGUCGGCUCAUCACAUCCUGGGGCUGAAGUAGGUCCCAAGGGUAUGGCUGUUCGCCAUUUAAAGUGGUACGCGAGCUGGGUUUAGAACGUCGUGAGACAGUUCGGUCCCUAUCUGCCGUGGGCGCUGGAGAACUGAGGGGGGCUGCUCCUAGUACGAGAGGACCGGAGUGGACGCAUCACUGGUGUUCGGGUUGUCAUGCCAAUGGCACUGCCCGGUAGCUAAAUGCGGAAGAGAUAAGUGCUGAAAGCAUCUAAGCACGAAACUUGCCCCGAGAUGAGUUCUCCCUGACUCCUUGAGAGUCCUGAAGGAACGUUGAAGACGACGACGUUGAUAGGCCGGGUGUGUAAGCGCAGCGAUG